GUGUGUGUCAAGUGCCCAAGAUGAGCCCAGGCACGGGGCAGUCUACUUGAUUGCCCAGCUGAUGGUCACUCUCAUGGCCCAGCAUCACCCCAGGCCCGUGGCAGCCGCCUCCAUGUUAGCUGCAUUGGCUCAUUGAUCAACUGAUUGACUAGGGAGCGUGUCAGUAAACCCAUGAUCGUUCCUCCACUGUUCCCAUUGCAGAGAACAGUCUGGUUGUUGGAGAUGACAGGAGAAGGGAAAUAAGAAAUUAAUGAUUCAGGGAGAGAGGAGGGAGGGUAGCAGGAGGGAGCAGAGGAAGGUAGGAAAUCAUGGGGACAGAAAGUCAUGGGCACCACCGUGGCUGCCUCUUGAAAGAAUGGGCUGACAGGCACUGCUUCCUGGUCCCAGUUAUGAAAUCUGAGGGCUGGGAAGGGCCCAGAGACCCUGGACGCCUUCCUCAUCAGUGAGGUAAAGGGCUCAUGGCCCCAUGGGUGGUGAGGUGGGGGGACUGCGAAGCUGAGGGCAGCAUUGAGUUUUGGGGUCGGGGACAUAAUCCCAGGGGCAGUGGCCUGAGUCCUCACUUCACCCUGAUUGUCCUGUUUCCUUUCCCAAGACCAGGCCACGACAAUACCCACCGUCGUCCGUAAGGAAGACGACUUCACAGAUUGCGAAGACUCGGAUGCAUAGAUUUACCAUCCGCAUGGCCUACUCCAGGCAACCCGAUUGGAGCAAAAUCAUUCAUUUGAGAAGCAUCUUCGGAAAGGAGGAAGCCCAAUGGGCAGCACAUUUUGGAUGCUACGUUGAGGCCUCCAAAAGAAAUUCUCAAUCAAACCUCAAGCCCUCGUGGUCAUUUGGGUCAUUAGGAAACGCCAGUAUACUUAUUUUUCCCGAGAGUGGGUCUGGCUGAACAGUUUCAAGAACGAAGCAGAUGUUUCCUGCCUGGGUUAUCUAGAAAAACCUAUGUACCUAAACUGUGCUUAUAUCCAUGGCCACUAGUGUAUCAAUUCAUGGCCAAAGGAGCCCCAUGGGAAAGGUUUGUCGUGUCCCUUCUGCUCUGUGGUCACUCAGAAGAAUGAGAUCAAGACACAGGGUCAGUUGGGGGAGCUGGUGUCCAAGAUCAGGGAUCUGGAGUCCUGGGUUCUGGGACGCACGUCCAG
RNAcentral lists this long non-coding RNA (1136 nucleotides) under Ursus americanus (American black bear). RNAcentral's name for it is "lncRNA (ENSUAMG00000005784.1)". The record is from RNAcentral. Lineage: Eukaryota; Metazoa; Chordata; Mammalia; Carnivora; Ursidae.